Molecule: transfer RNA, 72 nt
Filed under: Rhodospirillaceae bacterium
Lineage: Bacteria; Pseudomonadati; Pseudomonadota; Alphaproteobacteria; Rhodospirillales; Rhodospirillaceae
Description: tRNA-Pro
Source: RNAcentral
UCGGGCGUGGCCAGCCUGGUGGCCUACACUGGGGGUGUAGGGUCGUGGGUUCAAGUCCCGCCGCUCCGACCA